RNAcentral lists this ribosomal RNA (253 nucleotides) under uncultured bacterium. Its description in RNAcentral is "partial 16S ribosomal RNA". It matches the Rfam family "Bacterial small subunit ribosomal RNA", at positions 524 to 776 of the family's 1533-position model. The record is from RNAcentral.
UACGUAGGGUGCAAGCGUUAAUCGGAAUUACUGGGCGUAAAGCGUGCGCAGGCGGCUUUGCAAGACAGAUGUGAAAUCCCCGGGCUUAACCUGGGAACUGCAUUUGUGACUGCAAAGCUAGAGUACGGCAGAGGGGGAUGGAAUUCCGCGUGUAGCAGUGAAAUGCGUAGAUAUGCGGAGGAACACCGAUGGCGAAGGCAAUCCCCUGGGCCUGCACUGACGCUCAUGCACGAAAGCGUGGGGAGCAAACAGG